This 63-nucleotide transfer RNA is filed under the name Falcolipeurus suturalis. RNAcentral describes it as "tRNA-His". The record is from RNAcentral. Lineage: Eukaryota; Metazoa; Arthropoda; Insecta; Psocodea; Philopteridae.
UUUUGUAAUAGUUUAUAAAAAACGUUGAUUUGUGGUGUCAGAAAAGAUAAUUUCUUACAUAAA